Corvus hawaiiensis (hawaiian crow) is the source of this 2691-nucleotide long non-coding RNA. RefSeq lists it as uncharacterized. The transcript is spliced from 3 exons. The record is from RefSeq and is a predicted model, not a curated record. Lineage: Eukaryota; Metazoa; Chordata; Aves; Passeriformes; Corvidae.
UCUCCGUCUCCCCUGCCACUGGAGCUGCAUCAUUCCCAUCCGUUCCCCCCCUGCUCGCGGCUUCUGAGGCGAGGCUGCGCUGCGUGGAGGGAUGUCGCUGGGCGGCGGAGGGAUGUCGCUGGGCGGCGGAGGGAUACGACUGCACGGUGCCGGGAUAGGACUGCACGAAUCAUCGAAUGGGAAAUCCUACUGAAGCAAAGCCACAAGAACUGUCUGACUCCUGCUGUUCCUUUGCACCACUCUCACAGAGACUCUUGCUGUUUUCAGGGAGAAAACAGACACUGGGCGGACUGAAUCCCACUGCACUGGAUCUUCUGCUGAAAAGAUCUCUGAUUGGAUUUCUGGGCAACCUUUCAUCAUUGAAGCGAAGAAUUUGAUAUUCUCACUCCUCACUUAGGGGACACUACUCAGUUUGAAAUCACUGAACUUCAGGAAGACCAAUGGGUUUUUCCCUCUAAAUGCAGGAGUGCUUAAGCUUUGGACCAUUGUGGCAGAUGACAAAUUCAUCAACUUCUGGCUUGCUGCCCCGACUUACUUGUGUUUUGGCUCAACCUACUCAUGUGAAUCCAUUUUCCUGCUCUCAAAGACAUAAAAUCAAAGAGCAGAUUUGCUGUGACUCAUGUGCUUUGUUAUCUAUGUUUAUCAUAAGUAGAAGCCAUACUUCAAGAACACUAGAUGUUCCAAAAGUUGUAGUCUAAAAGUUUUGCUAGAGAGGAAGUGGUGCCACUACUGUCCACUUUUUCUAGAUAGAAAAUCAUACAUUAAAGAAUCAACCCCCAAAUUACCAUAUAGUAAAAAUACAAUAAUUACAACUUAGCACUGAUAGAAGAAAGUAUGCAAGAAAGGCCAGAUGUCUUUAAUGGUUUAAUUUCUACUACCAAGAGCUGUUAAAAAGAUGAAGAAAUACUGUAUUAUGGAAAAGAAUCACAAUGUAAAGAACCAUGGCCAUUGGGCUCUCUGUGCUCAUCUUUCAGCUUUGGGGCUCUUCAAGAUUUACCAUCAUUUUCCCAGAAAAACAGGAAAGGGAUUCAAGACUUGAGCAUUGUAGAAUCAUAGAGCAGCCUGGGUUGGAAGGGACCUUGAAAGAUCAUCUGCUCCAGCCUUUUGUGGGAAAGGAAGCCUGGAGACUUUUUCCCACACCCUGUCCAGCUGCGUAUGGAACCCUCCAGCAAUGGGGACUUGGCCUGUCCCUGGGGAAGUUGUUCCAGUGAAUGAUUGUUCUCUCUUUCAGCAGGACUCCUCCCAGACCUUCAUCUGUAGUGGGCUCUAGGGUUAUUCUGCACCCAGUCCCAGGUGCAGAAUUUUGCACCUGACUUUGUUAGACAUUACACAGUUCUUGCUAGCCCAGUGUUCCAGCCCGUCCAGGUCUCUGUGUGAGAUGUCUCUGCUUUCUGAUGUGUCCUCCUCACCAACCAGUUAGGUGUCAGCACACUUGGUGAGAGUGUUUUCCAUCCCAAAUAAUUUAUGAAGAUGUUGAACUAUGUGGGACCCAGUAUCAAUCCCUGGAGGACCCCACCUCUGACAGGCUGCCAGCCUGAGUAAAAUACAUUGGUCAGUGCUCUGGGUGCAGACUCUUUGACAAUGUCUUACCUAUCUCAGAGACCAGGCAUCCAACCUGUGUCUUGCCCAUUUGUCCAGAAGACGCCUAUGGAAAAUGUGUUGAAUCUUUUGCUGAAGUCCAACCAACACUGUUCUCCUGUGUAGAUAGGAAGUGGUACCUUGUUAGAAUAGAGUAGGAUAGGAUAGGAUAGGAUAGGAUAGGAUAGGAUAGGAUAGGUCAGUUGAAAGGAACCUACAGUGAUCAUCUGGUCCAACUACCUGAUCACUUUAGGGCUGACCAAAAGCUAAAGCAUGCUGUGAAGGACAUUGUCCAACACUUCUUCAGCAUGGGCAGGCUUGGGGCAUCAACUGCCUCUCUAGGAAGCCUGUUCCAGUGUUUGACCACCCUCCCAGUAAAGAAAUGCUUCCUGAUGUCUGGUCUCCUUAGUGCAGCUUUGGGCCAUUCCCAGGCAUCCUGUCCCUGGGUCGCAGACAGAAGAGCUCAGCCCCUCUCUCUCCAUGUGUCCCUCUUAGGAAGCUGCAGGGAGCCAUGAGGUUGCCCCUCAGCCUCCUUUUUACCAGACUAGACAAACACUUCAGCUCAUUAAAAGGAGUAAAAAAUGUACAAAGUUAAUACUUCAUUAUCCCUCGUGACACAGAGAUGAGAAAAAGGCACUGUAAACUUACCUAGAUUGAGUAGAAUUGAAAAUGAAAUGCAAAUAUUUAUUUUUGAACAUAUUACAGUGACUUUAUCUUACAGAAAUAUUGUUUGUAAGUUAUACAUUCCAAAAGUCAGCAUUUAAACAAUCAUCUCUGUACUUUAAGCCUUUAGUAAAGACAGUAAAAAUCACUGGAAAGUUCUACCUUAUGACCAGUAUUGCAUUGUAAAAAUGAAAAUAUGCAUUAUCAGAUUAAGCACUAUGGAUAUGAUGACAUUUCUAGGCUAACAACACACUUAUAAAGGCCUUAGAAACUAAGAAUUAAACUCUGGUAUUAACAUUCAAAGUAUAACAUUUUCAUUAUUGGGCAUUUUAUCUUGAUAUUGUAUGAAUAUUCAUAGACACACGCCUUGAUUGCCACCAAUGACAAUGGUAAGCAUUUCUGAAUAAUUCAGUUAGGUACAUUAUCUGUAUUUAUGAUACUUGUUCAAUU